This 253-nucleotide ribosomal RNA is filed under the name uncultured soil bacterium. RNAcentral describes it as "partial 16S ribosomal RNA". It matches the Rfam family "Bacterial small subunit ribosomal RNA", at positions 26 to 284 of the family's 1533-position model. The record is from RNAcentral.
AGGACGAACGCUGGCGGCGUGCUUAACACAUGCAAGUCGAGCGACAGCGGCCUUCGGGUCGUAUGGAGCGGCGAACGGGUGAGUAACACGUGGGCAACCUGCCCUCAGCUCUGGGAUAACUCCGGGAAACCGGGGCUAAUACCGGAUACGACACGUCCCUGCAUGGGGGUGUGUGGAAAGUUCUUCGGCUGAGGAUGGGCCCGCGGCCUAUCAGCUUGUUGGUGGGUGAUGGCCUACCAAGGCGACGACGGGU